AAGACUCUGCUUGACUAGCUGAGAGGAGGUGCAUGGCCGUCGUCAGUUCGUACUGUGAAGCAUCCUGUUAAGUCAGGCAACGAGCGAGACCCACGCCAACAGUUGCCAGCAUGUCCUCCGGGAUGAUGGGGACACUGUUGGGACCGCCUCUGCUAAAGAGGAGGAAGGAAUGGGCAACGGUAGGUCAGCAUGCCCCGAAUUAUCCGGGCUACACGCGGGCUACAAUGGUCAGGACAAUGGGUAUCGACACCGAGAGGUGGAGGCAAUCUCCUAAACCUGUCCUUAGUUCGGAUUGUGGGCUGCAACUCGCCCACAUGAAGCUGGAAUCCGUAGUAAUCGCGUUUAAAAUAGCGCGGUGAAUAUGUCCCUGCUCCUU
This 376-nucleotide ribosomal RNA is filed under the name uncultured Methanolinea sp. Its description in RNAcentral is "bacterial SSU rRNA". It matches the Rfam family "Archaeal small subunit ribosomal RNA", at positions 962 to 1338 of the family's 1478-position model. Lineage: Archaea; Methanobacteriati; Methanobacteriota; Methanomicrobia; Methanomicrobiales; Methanoregulaceae. The record is from RNAcentral.